RNAcentral lists this long non-coding RNA (3635 nucleotides) under Macaca fascicularis (crab-eating macaque). Its description in RNAcentral is "lncRNA (ENSMFAG00000055515.1)". Lineage: Eukaryota; Metazoa; Chordata; Mammalia; Primates; Cercopithecidae. The record is from RNAcentral.
UUUUUAUUCAGUGAAAAAAGUUGACAUUGAGACAAAAAUUAUCUUAAAAUUGUGCAACAAUAUAGUAAAACCUUCAGCAGAUUUCAGUGACUUGGAAACUUAUCGAGGCAAUUGAAAUUAUAAAUACCUAAUUUCACUUUGGAGAGAAACAAGUAUACAGUGUUUCGCUUUAAAUAAGAGUAGAAUAGGCCUUUAUUUUGCCACAAAUACUUUCGAUUUUGCCUAAAGUUUCUAAUAGUUCAUAACAAGAGCCUUUAAAUGAGAAGUGACAUAGAAUAUUUGAGGAUAAUGUUCCACUCCAGCAUUCAUGCUUAUUCCAUUUGAGCUAUUACACAUGAAACUAAUACCAUUCUUGGGUUAUUACUUGGCUGUGAUGAUUUAAUUCAUAAUAUGGCUGCUCAAAAUUAGUGGGCAGAAACAUAUAUACAACUCAUCCUCCCUCAACCCAUUUUCGGUGCUGGUACUCCAUCCGAAAACACACUUACUGUCCGUGUACCCAACAGUACAUAUCUCUUGCUAUCCAUUCCAUAUCUCAGUCUUGCAUAGAAAGUAGUCUAUAUAAACUUAAUGCACUGGCUUUUAUUACACAAAAAUUGUACCUGAAAGGCAGCACACACUCCAGUUAAGAAAAAUAACAUGACAGGAAUGUCAAGAUAUAAUCCCAACACAAGAUUCUGCACAGAGUUUGAGAGUCAAUUCCGAAAAUCAAUAUGGGGUGAUAUUCAGUUUGGUUAUGUCUCUGGAUGCCUUCUCUAAGGGACCCCUCCAACCGUCUGCAGAAGGAAGAAGAUUUUCAGGAAUUCACCAUGACUCCCUUCAUGGAGAAGGGACUGACCAAACCUGACAGGAUGGUGUUUCUGCCCUAAGGAAGUGUACUGGAAAUAUAAUCUUACUAGAUGCAGGGACCACUGGGUAAGCAUCUGAAGGCAGGAUUCACCAAGGAGGAGUGGGUGCUCAUCUGUAAGGGGCUCACCAUACUACUGCUCUCCCAAGCCUCCCCUGAAAAUGGCCAGUUUUAAGAAGGGUUACAUUCCUUAAAUUUUUGCUGAGUAUAGCCAAACAUGAUGGGCAGGAGAGAAAAGGCAGCUGUGUGUCCCCUGUCCGUCCUACCCAAAUAUCCCUGGUGAUGCUACCAAAGACAGAACCCCAGGAAUUACUUGUUCAAAAGUCAAAGUUUCAACAGUUACCCAGAAUAAUAACUAUCUACCCAGCUUGUCAAGGUAGCCAGGAGCUCCGGGAGCUUCUCACCUGUCUGGAACUAGGACUGCACAGACAUGGCCUUUUCCUGGAAUAUCCUCUGUAGAACUUCACUCUCUGACAUUUUAUCCAUGUGGACUCGUAUCUCAUAAAGCUCAAGGGGCAUUCAAUACAUCCAGGAGUAAAAUCGGCUUCCAGAGAAAACUCAUAAGCAAACCCCCUGCCCACCAAAUUUUAGAGGCCCAUCGUGGUCCACAUGGAUGCAGGCAUCUGACAUUCUAAUGUACACCGCGAGAGAAUAAAACCGUUUUCCUGCACGGUGUGACCUUCUGAGGUGGCAUCUCCAACAAGGUACAAAAGCCCCUUCUUCACAAGCAAGGAGGGACUCCAGCCGGUCACAAUGAAGACAGUUAUCUGGUCACCUUCAAAGGCUGUCUGUAGUAUGAGGCAUUUGUUUUCAUUUCCUAUUGGCACUCCAACCUCUGGAUUCUUUCAGACAGCAUAUACACAUGAAAUCCCCACAAAGCUACGCAGAGGGAAACGGGAGUGUGUGCUUCAAAAGUUCAUAAAAAUAUACAAUUUACAUAUAGCUGCAUCUAUCUAGCUUAGUCUUCAGGAACUUAGCUCUUCUGUUUAUAGAAAAUACUCUAGCCCUAAAAAGCUGCUUUUUUUCAAACAGCACAGUGGCAUUUUCCAAGGAGAGGGGUGAUGGCCAGUCUACAGUACUGUGCACUAAGCAUUGGGAGGCACUGGUAGCUAGAACUGGAUGCUCAAAAAUAUCUCAAGCUGCCAACUGGAGACAUAUGCUCUGUAAAAAGGCUUGCCUAUGGAAUAACUGAAAAUAACAUCGCAGAGCCUUUUAUAUCAGCUUUUACAAAUGCCACCAAAAAGUUGGCAGAAAAAGAAAAGAAAAUACACUUCCUAGUGGUUCAAUUAAAUGACUUACCUCCCACCAGGUUGUUAAUGAUUCAACUAUUUAAAGAGCUUAUUAAAGGGGAGGUGGUAGGGCUUAGAGUUUUGAACAAAUCUCUAUAGUAAGACAUGAUAAAGCCAAAAAAUUCCAGUCUUUAAAAAAAAAAAAAACUUAAAAAAGGAGAGUGACAGGAAAGAAGAGAAAAUACACUAGAAGAAGGCUUAUCAUUACCACCGGUUGUUAAAAUGAAAUACAGCCCUACCCGUAUGGCAAAUUAAAGGUCGACAGCUUAAAAUACUCAUCUCAGUAUAUAUAUAAAUAAAAAUUUUAAAAACUAAAAAAUUUAAUUGGCUCUUUGUUUUCUAAACAAUCCCUAAGUAGAAUAAAACUAUAUUAUCACCCAAGAAUGAUACUUUCGGUUAAAAGAAACUAAACACUUGGGAGAAGGUGAUGCAUCGCACCUAAGGGGGGAUGGGGUUUUACAAAGCUUGCAUAUCAAGGACAUAUAUUCAGAGACACGACUUUGGACUAUUCCCAGACCUCACUGCUUCUUGGCUGAAAGGAAAUUCUUCAGUGAGAAUCAUACAGUACAAGUCACAACGAUGCUAGACAUUGGUACCUACAACGCUAAGCAUAAAGGGUUGGCAUCAGCCCACGAUGGCUUCUACAUAACUAUCAAGUGGCCAUGGUUUGAAUACAGGGGUGGCAUUUUAAAGGCAGAAGGAAAAAAAAGCACAGCUUGUUUUACAGAGAGAAUAAAUGAACACCCUCUAGUGCUCCUGCUGUCGUUAACUGGAUUGAGGAGUCUCAACGUUUUAGAUCUUCUCUAUCUCUAUGAGAGUGUACAGCACUGUCUCUUUAGAUUGGGUGGGGGCAUGGGUGAGGGAGAUGGAAGAAAAGAAAAAAAAAAAGAGAGCGAGAAGGCACCGACCCAAUUCAAAAUGACUGCAUACAUCAGUAUGGAUUUUUAAGGACAAUAAGUGGCCAUCUCAACCCAAAUACAUAAUUUUACAUUUGAGAUCCUUCAGUAGUAAGUAAAAACAAAAAAUGGAAAAUGGAAAAAUUAUGUACUCUAUUGGCCAGUGUAUGGAUCAUGGCACAGAUCUAGAACUCUCUCCUACAACAAGGGUAAGUUUUUGCAAUGACAAUGAAACCAGUGUGUAAUAAAGCAGUGUUAUCAUUUUGUAGCUCUCAAAGCUACAUCUUGUACAGAGGCACAUACAGUAAAAUUCCAUCAAUUAAUAUAAGAGAGGAAGCUGUGGGCUUGCAGGGCUUCCCAGGCUGCAGCUCUGUUUAACUGAACUCCGGCAAUGACUCAGUGCUCUCUCCUGCCAAAGACCAUUAUGUGACACACAAGUGAAUCAAAUGGAUUGCUUCCGGAAUGGCAACAAAAAAUGCUUCUGUUCCCACCUCCAACCCUAUGGGUAAGGGGCUCAUAACACAUGUGGUGUCUAAUGACCACUAAAGCCUGGCCUUACACAGAGUCCCAAUAAAUUAACAAAAUAACAUAAAGAAACCUUCCCCC